UUUGGAUACACUUAUGAGCAUUUGUGCCCAAUAUUCGGGUCAUUUUGGGAACUUCCCUUUUGAAGAGAACCAGUUUUAUGGUGUUUUCUCUUGCAGAGCUCUAUGCAGAGCUCCCAAGCUGGCUGCUCUUGAGCUAUAGUUAGCCUAUAGUUUAUUUGUUCCACAGUUAUUUUUCAAGUUUUUUUAAAUUAGUUGCCAACAUUUUAAAAAUCAAAAUUAUUUCACAUAAAACGCCUGAAUGUUUUUACCUUUAUUAAAAGUUGGAAUAUCAAGCAAAGCUAGCCUGCAUUCCACAUGGCACCCUUUGGCUGGAGCUGAGUUGUUGCUAUCUCCUCCAUACAGGUCAUGUGCCUUCCAGUUCAGUAAGAUCCCACCACCAUACCCCAACUUAGUAUUUGAAGGGGUAACCCCUGCUCAAUAGUCACUUGUUGUUUUGGGUGCCAGAUAGAAUGAUGUUCCCCAGGCUCAGAGCUGACAGCUCUUGGUUACUGCUAAAAAUCAGUUCAACUGUCCAAGUACCGUUUUCUACCACUGAGUAGCCCAGUAAAAGUAUUUAAAAAAAAAAAAAAAAUGUGCUAAAGGCUCAGAGACCAUCUCUGAAAGAGGAAGGCCAGGAGGAGUAUCUGAGUUUCUGCUGGAGGGGCAUAUCACCCCUCUGCUGACAGUUUUAAGAGGUACAAACUUUUGUGAAUGUAUAGAUUCUGGUGUAGUCACACAAAAAGAGUCUUAGUAAGAAUAGAGAAAUAGGCUGGGUACAGUGGUUCACACUUAUAAUCCCAACUCUUUGGGAGGCUGAGACAGUAGAAUCACUUGAGCCUAGUCGUUCAAGGCCAGCCUGGGCAACAUAGUGAGACCCCUAUCUCUACAGAAAAUUAAAAAAUUAGCUGGGCAUGAACCUGCUAUCCUAGCUACUUGGGAGGCAGAGGCAGGAGGAUCAUCUGGGCCCAGGAGUUCAAGCUUGCAGAGCAGUGAUCAUACCACUGCACUCCAGCCUGGGCAACAGAGCAAGACCCUGUCUGUUAAAAAUAAUAAUAAUAGAGAACUAAAGUUUCAAGUUGAGACGAUGAGAAUUGCUGUAAUAGAUAAGGGGAUCCUGACAUCUAGUGGACAACAUUAUAUACUGUCGACAGAAAAAACAGCCCAUGACAAGGAAGGUUACAUUUUUUCUUUUUACUUGAGAAAAACACAGUUAUAACCUCUUUUUGUUGUUAUUGUUGUUGUUGUCGUUGUUUGGAGUUAAUUAUCUUGGAAUGCUUUUUUGGAACUCAAUAGGUAGAUUUUGAUGUUUCUCAAUGAGGCUUUCUUAUGUAAAUGUUUGGAUCCAUCUUUUAUUUCCUUUUUAGACCAAUUCAAUUCUGAAUAUGCAAAAGACACUAUUGACUCUUGCAUUAUACCUUCUCAUUGAAGGAUGGAUAAUUUGGUAUGAAAAUCCUUUGCAGAUUCUGGAGGAAAUUGCUCAUGUUUUGAUUACCUUUAGCAGAAAAAUAACAAUGUAUUGCUAUCAGGAGAGGGAUUUCUGGGGAGGGGACUUAACAUGGAAAUUAUAAAUUCAUUCAUGACUUUUCUUUUUUAAAUUAGGCUUUCUCCUGUUUCUCAGAGGAUUUAUCAAUUAUGCAAAAGUUCGGAAGAUGCCAGAAACUUUCUCAAAUCUCCCCAGGACCAGAGUUCUCUUUAUUUAUUAAAGAUGUUUUCUGGCAAAGGCCUUCCUGCAUUUAUGAAUUCUCUCUCAAGAAGCAAGAGAACACCUGCAGGAAGUGAAUCAAGAUGCAGAACACAGAGGAAUAAUCACCUGCUUUAAAAAAAUAAAGUACUGUUGAAAAGAUCAUUUCUCUCUAUUUGUUCCUAGGUGUAAAAUUUUAAUAGUUAAUGCAGAAUUCUGUAAUCAUUGAAUCAUUAGUGGUUAAUGUUUGAAAAAGCUCUUGCAAUCAAGUCUGUGAUGUAUUAAUAAUGCCUUAUAUAUUGUUUGUAGUCAUUUUAAGUAGCAUGAGCCAUGUCCCUGUAGUCAGUAGGGGGCAGUCUUGCUUUAUUCAUCCUCCAUCUCAAAAUGAACUUGGAAUUAAAUAUUUUAUUGUAAGAUAUGUAUAAUGCUGGCCAUUUUAAAGGGGUUUUCUCAAAAGUUAAACUUUUGUUAUGACUGUGUUUUUGCACAUAAUCCAUAUUUGCUGUUCAAGUUAAUCUAGAAAUUUAUUCAAUUCUGUGUGAACACCUGGAAGCAAAACUAUAGUGCAAAAAUACGUUUAAGGUGUGGUCGAAAAUAAGUCUUUAAUUGGUAAAUAAUAAGCAUUAAUUUUUUAUAGCCUGUAUUCACAAUUUUGCGGUACCUUAUUGUACCUAAGGGAUUCUAAAGGUGUUGUCACUGUGUAAAAUAGAAAUGACUAGGAUACAAAUGAAGCUUAAUUACUAAAAUGUAAUUCUUGACACUCUUUCUAUAAUUAGAGUCCUUCACCCCUACCCCCACCCCCCUUAUUUUCCUUUUGUCUCAUGAUUAGGCCAAAGUCUGGGAGUAAGGAGAGGAUUAGGUACUUAGGAGCAAAGAAAGAAGUAGCUUGGAACUUUUGAGAUGAUCCCUAACAUACUGUACUACUUGCUUUUACAAUGUGUUAGCAGAAACCAGUGGGUUAUAAUGUAGAAUGAUGUGCUUUCUGCCCAAGUGGUAAUUCAUCUUGGUUUGCUAUGUUAAAACUGUAAAUACAACAGAACAUUAAUAAAUAUCUCUUGUGUAGCACCUUUUACUGUAGUUUAGUGCUUAAUUUCUUGGCUUGCAUUUGUUGAUUGCUAAGGCAAUUUUUUCUAAUCUUAGGGAAUCAUUCAGUAGAUGCGAUUAAAAAACUAAUAUUGGGUCAAAUUUUUUUCUUCAUUUUCAGCACAAGAAGUCCUCUUAUAUCCUACUAAAUACAUUCCUAAAAAUGUAUAUGAACAUUGGUUCUGUAAAAGAUAAUGGACUAAAAAAGUAGAGAGGAGUUGUAGAGAUCUUAAAUCAUUCUGGAAUUCCUAAUUAUGCUUCAAUUUUUAGACAUAAUUUUAGAUAAUUUAUUUCCAGUGUUUUGUGCAUGUUCUCAUUUGUUCUUUUUCUCAGUUGAAUGCACCAACUGGUUUGAGUCCUGUGAGCAUUCAGUCAGUUGAAAUUAAAGAUUCCUCAUUUCUCCUGAUUUCUAUUCUUGUCUCGAUCUUAAAUUUAGAGACCAGUGGUUUUUAUGAUAUCAGCCAUUUGAUUUUUUUCAUUUUCUAUUUAAGAAAUAUGAAGAAAAAAUACACCAAGAUGGUUAAAUUACUACACAAAUCAGCACCAGCACAGUCUGAUAGCUGCAAAUGUCCAUUCAUAUGCUGUGUAUGAAUAUCCAGAAUCAGCAUAGGAAGUCGUUUAGGAUGUCAGUAUAUAAUGCACAGAAGUGUGGGUUGUUUGAAAGCCAAACAGGAAAAUUAGGAGCCUCCUGGAUUGACAUUUCAAUGAUCCCUCUAACCAGUUUAUGGAGUCUUAUGAAUAAUAGUGUAGUGUGUUCUUGUUCAGAAGUUAUAUUUGAUAAUAGAGGAGGGAGUUUUAUGAAAGUUUCUUUGAAGGGUUUUUUUUUUACAUUUUGAAUCAGAUUAUACCAACAAUGGAGUUUGGAAGUUUGUAUGGCCUAUAAUGUUCUAAGUUCCAGAAUGAAAGGAUCUGUAACAAUCUGAAUAGAUGUGGACACAUAUAGCAGAGAGAACUAUGUAAAUUAUCUUGCAGAACAAAAUAGAAGGGUCCUAAAUCACAUUAACUCAAACAUUGUAGACUAGCUUUGUGUUUAUUCUUCAGGUCCUUGUGCCUUAUUUGGUUUUGUAUAUUCAAUGAACUGAAAUAUUUGGAAUUCCUAUUUCUACGUAUUUGGUGGUCCAUAAGACUUUGUCAAAUGUAAACCUACAGUUUGAUACGCUUUAAAAUACCUAGUCAAGAGGAUGAUUUCUCUUUAAUCGUUUAAAUGUUCUGAAAAUUAAAAUCUUUUGAGGCACAUAAAGUUGGCACCAUAUAUCAUCUAGAGUCCUUACUGGUAUUCAGGAUGAAAGUGUUCAUGCUGCAUUGUUAAUUCUCAUUUUUCUCUCCCAUGUUCUUUCUCACUUUGAUAACGUUAAUACUGAUAAUGGAUAAAGGGUGAGUUUUUAUAAUAAAUGGUUUUGGAAAGGU
Molecule: small RNA, 4150 nt
Filed under: Pongo abelii (Sumatran orangutan)
Lineage: Eukaryota; Metazoa; Chordata; Mammalia; Primates; Hominidae
Description: retained intron
Source: RNAcentral